Molecule: ribosomal RNA, 1207 nt
Filed under: Escherichia fergusonii
Lineage: Bacteria; Pseudomonadati; Pseudomonadota; Gammaproteobacteria; Enterobacterales; Enterobacteriaceae
Description: partial 23S ribosomal RNA
Rfam family: Bacterial large subunit ribosomal RNA
Source: RNAcentral
GUUAAGCGACUAAGCGUACACGGUGGAUGCCCUGGCAGUCAGAGGCGAUGAAGGACGUGCUAAUCUGCGAUAAGCGUCGGUAAGGUGAUAUGAACCGUUAUAACCGGCGAUUUCCGAAUGGGGAAACCCAGUGUGAUUCGUCACACUAUCAUUAACUGAAUCCAUAGGUUAAUGAGGCGAACCGGGGGAACUGAAACAUCUAAGUACCCCGAGGAAAAGAAAUCAACCGAGAUUCCCCCAGUAGCGGCGAGCGAACGGGGAGGAGCCCAGAGCCUGAAUCAGUGUGUGUGUUAGUGGAAGCGUCUGGAAAGGCGCGCGAUACAGGGUGACAGCCCCGUACACAAAAAUGCACAUACUGUGAGCUCGAUGAGUAGGGCGGGACACGUGGUAUCCUGUCUGAAUAUGGGGGGACCAUCCUCCAAGGCUAAAUACUCCUGACUGACCGAUAGUGAACCAGUACCGUGAGGGAAAGGCGAAAAGAACCCCGGCGAGGGGAGUGAAAAAGAACCUGAAACCGUGUACGUACAAGCAGUGGGAGCCUCUUUAUGGGGUGACUGCGUACCUUUUGUAUAAUGGGUCAGCGACUUAUAUUCUGUAGCAAGGUUAACCGAAUAGGGGAGCCGAAGGGAAACCGAGUCUUAACUGGGCGUUAAGUUGCAGGGUAUAGACCCGAAACCCGGUGAUCUAGCCAUGGGCAGGUUGAAGGUUGGGUAACACUAACUGGAGGACCGAACCGACUAAUGUUGAAAAAUUAGCGGAUGACUUGUGGCUGGGGGUGAAAGGCCAAUCAAACCGGGAGAUAGCUGGUUCUCCCCGAAAGCUAUUUAGGUAGCGCCUCGUGAAUUCAUCUCCGGGGGUAGAGCACUGUUUCGGCAAGGGGGUCAUCCCGACUUACCAACCCGAUGCAAACUGCGAAUACCGGAGAAUGUUAUCACGGGAGACACACGGCGGGUGCUAACGUCCGUCGUGAAGAGGGAAACAACCCAGACCGCCAGCUAAGGUCCCAAAGUCAUGGUUAAGUGGGAAACGAUGUGGGAAGGCCCAGACAGCCAGGAUGUUGGCUUAGAAGCAGCCAUCAUUUAAAGAAAGCGUAAUAGCUCACUGGUCGAGUCGGCCUGCGCGGAAGAUGUAACGGGGCUAAACCAUGCACCGAAGCUGCGGCAGCGACACUGUGUGUUGUUGGGUAGGGGAGCGUUCUGUAAGCCUG